RNAcentral lists this ribosomal RNA (402 nucleotides) under uncultured bacterium. RNAcentral's name for it is "bacterial SSU rRNA". It matches the Rfam family "Bacterial small subunit ribosomal RNA", at positions 355 to 774 of the family's 1533-position model. The record is from RNAcentral.
UGGGGAAUAUUGCACAAUGGGGGAAACCCUGAUGCAGCGACGCCGCGUGAUUGAAGAAGUAUUUCGGUAUGUAAAGAUCUAUCAGCAAGGAAGAAAAUGACGGUACUUGACUAAGAAGCCCCGGCUAACUACGUGCCAGCAGCCGCGGUAAUACGUAGGGGGCAAGCGUUAUCCGGAUUUACUGGGUGUAAAGGGAGCGUAGGCGGUCUGGCAAGCCAGAAGUGAAAGCCCGGGGCUUAACCCCGGGACUGCUUUUGGAACUGUUAGACUAGAGUGUCGGAGAGGUAAGUGGAAUUCCUAGUGUAGCGGUGAAAUGCGUAGAUAUUAGGAGGAACACCAGUGGCGAAGGCGGCUUACUGGACGAUAACUGACGCUGAGGCUCGAAAGCGUGGGGAGCAAACA